RNAcentral lists this non-coding RNA (88 nucleotides) under human gut metagenome. RNAcentral describes it as "Purine riboswitch". It matches the Rfam family "Purine riboswitch aptamer", at positions 18 to 98 of the family's 102-position model. From Rfam's summary of the family: Riboswitches are metabolite binding domains within certain messenger RNAs that serve as precision sensors for their corresponding targets. The record is from RNAcentral.
UGAAGAUAGGUCGUAUAAAUUCAAAGAUAUGGUUUGAAAGUUUCUACCUCAUCGCCUUAAAUGAUGAGACUACGAUCUUAGCAAAUAU